GGGGGAUCCACCAGAUCCGGAGAGAAUUGGAUGUAUCUGCUGUGGACCCUCUCAGGGUGCAGAGGAGUGAUCUGAUGCAAUAUUCCUGUGAACUCACACUGGACACAAACACAGUGAGC
Long non-coding RNA from Perca flavescens (yellow perch), 119 nucleotides. RefSeq lists it as uncharacterized. The transcript has 3 exons. NCBI's taxonomy places the organism in Eukaryota, Metazoa, Chordata, Actinopteri, Perciformes, Percidae. The record is from RefSeq and is a predicted model, not a curated record.